Molecule: ribosomal RNA, 2206 nt
Filed under: Pseudomonas aeruginosa
Lineage: Bacteria; Pseudomonadati; Pseudomonadota; Gammaproteobacteria; Pseudomonadales; Pseudomonadaceae
Description: partial 23S ribosomal RNA
Rfam family: Bacterial large subunit ribosomal RNA
Source: RNAcentral
GGUCAAGUGAAGAAGCGCAUACGGUGGAUGCCUUGGCAGUCAGAGGCGAUGAAAGACGUGGUAGCCUGCGAAAAGCUUCGGGGAGUCGGCAAACAGACUUUGAUCCGGAGAUCUCUGAAUGGGGGAACCCACCUAGGAUAACCUAGGUAUCUUGUACUGAAUCCAUAGGUGCAAGAGGCGAACCAGGGGAACUGAAACAUCUAAGUACCCUGAGGAAAAGAAAUCAACCGAGAUUCCCUUAGUAGUGGCGAGCGAACGGGGAUUAGCCCUUAAGCUUCAUUGAUUUUAGCGGAACGCUCUGGAAAGUGCGGCCAUAGUGGGUGAUAGCCCCGUACGCGAAAGGAUCUUUGAAGUGAAAUCGAGUAGGACGGAGCACGAGAAACUUUGUCUGAACAUGGGGGGACCAUCCUCCAAGGCUAAAUACUACUGACUGACCGAUAGUGAACCAGUACCGUGAGGGAAAGGCGAAAAGAACCCCGGAGAGGGGAGUGAAAUAGAACCUGAAACCGUAUGCGUACAAGCAGUGGGAGCCUACUUGUUAGGUGACUGCGUACCUUUUGUAUAAUGGGUCAGCGACUUAUAUUCAGUGGCAAGCUUAACCGUAUAGGGUAGGCGUAGCGAAAGCGAGUCUUAAUAGGGCGUUUAGUCGCUGGGUAUAGACCCGAAACCGGGCGAUCUAUCCAUGAGCAGGUUGAAGGUUAGGUAACACUGACUGGAGGACCGAACCCACUCCCGUUGAAAAGGUAGGGGAUGACUUGUGGAUCGGAGUGAAAGGCUAAUCAAGCUCGGAGAUAGCUGGUUCUCCUCGAAAGCUAUUUAGGUAGCGCCUCAUGUAUCACUCUGGGGGGUAGAGCACUGUUUCGGCUAGGGGGUCAUCCCGACUUACCAAACCGAUGCAAACUCCGAAUACCCAGAAGUGCCGAGCAUGGGAGACACACGGCGGGUGCUAACGUCCGUCGUGAAAAGGGAAACAACCCAGACCGCCAGCUAAGGUCCCAAAGUUGUGGUUAAGUGGUAAACGAUGUGGGAAGGCUUAGACAGCUAGGAGGUUGGCUUAGAAGCAGCCAUCCUUUAAAGAAAGCGUAAUAGCUCACUAGUCGAGUCGGCCUGCGCGGAAGAUGUAACGGGGCUCAAACCACACACCGAAGCUGCGGGUGUCACGUAAGUGACGCGGUAGAGGAGCGUUCUGUAAGCCUGUGAAGGUGAGUUGAGAAGCUUGCUGGAGGUAUCAGAAGUGCGAAUGCUGACAUGAGUAACGACAAUGGGUGUGAAAAACACCCACGCCGAAAGACCAAGGGUUCCUGCGCAACGUUAAUCGACGCAGGGUUAGUCGGUUCCUAAGGCGAGGCUGAAAAGCGUAGUCGAUGGGAAACAGGUUAAUAUUCCUGUACUUCUGGUUACUGCGAUGGAGGGACGGAGAAGGCUAGGCCAGCUUGGCGUUGGUUGUCCAAGUUUAAGGUGGUAGGCUGAAAUCUUAGGUAAAUCCGGGGUUUCAAGGCCGAGAGCUGAUGACGAGUCGUCUUUUAGAUGACGAAGUGGUUGAUGCCAUGCUUCCAAGAAAAGCUUCUAAGCUUCAGGUAACCAGGAACCGUACCCCAAACCGACACAGGUGGUCGGGUAGAGAAUACCAAGGCGCUUGAGAGAACUCGGGUGAAGGAACUAGGCAAAAUGGCACCGUAACUUCGGGAGAAGGUGCGCCGGCUAGGGUGAAGGAUUUACUCCGUAAGCUCUGGCUGGUCGAAGAUACCAGGCCGCUGCGACUGUUUAUUAAAAACACAGCACUCUGCAAACACGAAAGUGGACGUAUAGGGUGUGACGCCUGCCCGGUGCCGGAAGGUUAAUUGAUGGGGUUAGCGCAAGCGAAGCUCUUGAUCGAAGCCCCGGUAAACGGCGGCCGUAACUAUAACGGUCCUAAGGUAGCGAAAUUCCUUGUCGGGUAAGUUCCGACCUGCACGAAUGGCGUAACGAUGGCGGCGCUGUCUCCACCCGAGACUCAGUGAAAUUGAAAUCGCUGUGAAGAUGCAGUGUAUCCGCGGCUAGACGGAAAGACCCCGUGAACCUUUACUGUAGCUUUGCACUGGACUUUGAGCCUGCUUGUGUAGGAUAGGUGGGAGGCUUUGAAGCGUGGACGCCAGUUCGCGUGGAGCCAUCCUUGAAAUACCACCCUGGCAUGCUUGAGGUUCUAACUCUGGUCCGUGAUCCGGAU